GGAGGAGCUCCGCCCAGAAAGCUUUUCAGCUCCUCGGAGAACACUGGCUUGGUCUUGUCCAAGGAGAUGCCAGAGAUGCAAAAAUCUAACAGGAAGAAAGGAAGGAAAGAAGAAAAGGAGGAAAGGAGGAAAGAAAGAAAGAAGGAAGGAAGUUUUUUGAGAUGCAAAUGGACUUUAAAUUUAUCACAAACUCUGGUCAUUAGCUUCACAGACAUGCUACUCAAGGCUUAAGAAUAAAAGACUUUUUAAAGAAAUGUAACUGUUCAACAGUUGAGGAAGCCCAAGCUGCCUAAAAACUAAUGGGCAGAAAUGCAACACAGGCCUAACUUGGAAUUUUGAACUGUUAAGGUAGUCAGGAUAGUUCAGUAUUGUCUUGCACAGAGAAUUUAACUGCAUCGGUCUCAUGGAGACACGGACAUCUGUUUGUCUGUGUGACAGCCAAUCUCUUGUUGGCAAAGGCAAGGGAAUAUCCCAAAGCUUCACAGAAAGGCAAAUAAAAGAAAACAAAUGAUUCUCAGUUCAGCCCAUCUUUACUCAGCUUCAUCCCACAGUGUGUUAAUUAGAUGAGCAGAUGUAGAAUUUAGGAAGAUUUCCAGAUUAAUUGUCAGGAAAGUGAAACAGUUAGCACAGGCCUCACUAAGCAGGGUUCUAGUCUCUUGUCAUGUUGACACAAGCAGCACCACACCUGCCAACAGGGCAUCUGCAGUCUUCUCCCAGAAUUGGCCAAGACCAUCUCCUUGGCUCUGAUAUACAGCGAAGCCUCUUUAGAAGGAUCAACUUUGGUUGUAGAAGCAACACAGAAACCCAGGGCACUUUUUUUCUGAAUAAUGCCUCCUCACUCUGAGAUGCUGAUGAAAAGACUCAAGCUGUUCAUUUUUAGUCCAUCUCUUGGCAUUGGCCUAGAGACAUUUGUUUGAAUUGAUAAUAAAUUCCAGGAAUCUAAAGAAAAUGACAAUAUCACUUUCACAAAAUAUUCAAGGCUAACAAAAAAUGGGGGAGCUUUGUAUUGUGCUUAAAUAAAGGCUGAACGCAAUUUUUUUUGUGAAGGAAAGGAGCAUAUAUAACAGAACUUAAAGACUAAUUUGGUCUGGCAGGAGAGGAAUAGUCCUGGUCCCAUUUGCUAGGAAGAGAGCCUUUUCUGUCAUGGCUCCACCCUUUGGAACAUCACAAUCCAGGAAAUUACAGUAGAUUGGCUUUAGAUUGACUUUGUUGGCCUUUUGCAAGCCUUGCAGAUACAGCUAUGCCAUUGAACUGGGGGAUCUGGAUAUGUUGCAGAAGUUAUAUUGCUUUGUUGGCAGUUAUUUUUUAACUGUUUCCUAUUAUUAAGUUUUAUAUAAAGAUU
This is a long non-coding RNA of Crotalus tigris (Tiger rattlesnake), 1342 nucleotides long. RefSeq lists it as uncharacterized. NCBI's taxonomy places the organism in Eukaryota, Metazoa, Chordata, Lepidosauria, Squamata, Viperidae. The record is from RefSeq and is a predicted model, not a curated record. The transcript has 3 exons.